CUCCAGUGCUGCGGGAGUUCUUCUAUUUUUGCUUCUGUCAACUUUGUCCACGAGCGGAGAACAUCCAAUGUAGAUGCUCAUGGCCUGGCGAGGGCUGCUUCCUCACUUGAUGCAGGUCGCCACGUUUGGCUGCUAAUGUCGCUAGACCCCUUCUGUAUCCCUACUCGUAUUCAAGUUUAAAUAAAAUGGUGGCUUCCCCUAAAACAAAACCUACACCCCUCAAAAAAAUUUACUCGGUAACUACAAAGAUCUCAAAAAAAAUCGAGGUAACUGUGCGACGGGAACUGAAAUUUUAGGUUUCUUUUUUGCAACCUACUAGCUUUGCCCCGUUACCCUAUUAAAAAAAACUAGCUUUGACCCGUGUAUACUCCCUCC
Molecule: long non-coding RNA, 375 nt
Filed under: Brachypodium distachyon (stiff brome)
Lineage: Eukaryota; Viridiplantae; Streptophyta; Magnoliopsida; Poales; Poaceae
Description: long non-coding RNA (BDIS_LNC002753)
Source: RNAcentral